Molecule: ribosomal RNA, 919 nt
Filed under: uncultured prokaryote
Description: bacterial SSU rRNA
Rfam family: Bacterial small subunit ribosomal RNA
Source: RNAcentral
UAUUCGGGGCGCUACCAUGCAGUCGAGCGGAUGAGAGGAGCUUGCUCCUUGAUUUAGCGGCGGACGGGUGAGUAAUGCCUAGGAAUCUGCCUGGUAGUGGGGGAUAACGUUCCGAAAGGAACGCUAAUACCGCAUACGUCCUACGGGAGAAAGCAGGGGACCUUCGGGCCUUGCGCUAUCAGAUGAGCCUAGGUCGGAUUAGCUAGUUGGUGAGGUAAUGGCUCACCAAGGCGACGAUCCGUAACUGGUCUGAGAGGAUGAUCAGUCACACUGGAACUGAGACACGGUCCAGACUCCUACGGGAGGCAGCAGUGGGGAAUAUUGGACAAUGGGCGAAAGCCUGAUCCAGCCAUGCCGCGUGUGUGAAGAAGGUCUUCGGAUUGUAAAGCACUUUAAGUUGGGAGGAAGGGCAUUAACCUAAUACGUUAGUGUUUUGACGUUACCGACAGAAUAAGCACCGGCUAACUUCGUGCCAGCAGCCGCGGUAAUACGAAGGGUGCAAGCGUUAAUCGGAAUUACUGGGCGUAAAGCGCGCGUAGGUGGUUCGUUAAGUUGGAUGUGAAAGCCCCGGGCUCAACCUGGGAACUGCAUCCAAAACUGGCGAGCUAGAGUACGGUAGAGGGUGGUGGAAUUUCCUGUGUAGCGGUGAAAUGCGUAGAUAUAGGAAGGAACACCAGUGGCGAAGGCGACCACCUGGACUGAUACUGACACUGAGGUGCGAAAGCGUGGGGAGCAAACAGGAUUAGAUACCCUGGUAGUCCACGCCGUAACGAUGUCAACUAGCCUUUGGGUUCCUUGAGAACUUAGUGGCGCAGCUCACGCAUUAAGUUGACCGCCUGGGGAGUACGGCCGCAAGGUUAAAACUCAAUGAAUUGACGGGGCCCGCACAAGCGGUGGAGCAUGUGGUUUAAUUCGAAGC